This 468-nucleotide ribosomal RNA is filed under the name Vibrio parahaemolyticus. RNAcentral describes it as "bacterial SSU rRNA". It matches the Rfam family "Bacterial small subunit ribosomal RNA", at positions 1 to 455 of the family's 1533-position model. The record is from RNAcentral. Lineage: Bacteria; Pseudomonadati; Pseudomonadota; Gammaproteobacteria; Vibrionales; Vibrionaceae.
AAAUUGAAGAGUUUGAUCAUGGCUCAGAUUGAACGCUGGCGGCAGGCCUAACACAUGCAAGUCGAGCGGAAACGAGUUAUCUGAACCUUCGGGGAACGAUAACGGCGUCGAGCGGCGGACGGGUGAGUAAUGCCUAGGAAAUUGCCCUGAUGUGGGGGAUAACCAUUGGAAACGAUGGCUAAUACCGCAUGAUGCCUACGGGCCAAAGAGGGGGACCUUCGGGCCUCUCGCGUCAGGAUAUGCCUAGGUGGGAUUAGCUAGUUGGUGAGGUAAGGGCUCACCAAGGCGACGAUCCCUAGCUGGUCUGAGAGGAUGAUCAGCCACACUGGAACUGAGACACGGUCCAGACUCCUACGGGAGGCAGCAGUGGGGAAUAUUGCACAAUGGGCGCAAGCCUGAUGCAGCCAUGCCGCGUGUGUGAAGAAGGCCUUCGGGUUGUAAAGCACUUUCAGUCGUGAGGAAGGUAGU